GGGCCCGCACAAGCGGUGGAGCAUGUGGUUUAAUUCGACGCAACGCGAAGAACCUUACCAAGGCUUGACAUCCUACUAACGAAGUAGAAAUACAUCAGGUGCCCUUCGGGGAAAGUAGAGACAGGUGGUGCAUGGUUGUCGUCAGCUCGUGUCGUGAGAUGUUGGGUUAAGUCCCGCAACGAGCGCAACCCCUAUAUUCAGUUGCCAGCACGUAAAGGUGGGGACUCUGGAAAGACUGCCGGUGACAAACCGGAGGAAGGCGGGGAUGACGUCAAAUCAUCAUGCCCCUUAUGUUUUGGGCUACACACGUGCUACAAUGGACGGUACAGACGGAAGCGAAGCCGCGAGGUGAAGCAAAUCCGAGAAAGCCGUUCCCAGUUCGGAUUGCAGGCUGCAACUCGCCUGCAUGAAGUCGGAAUCGCUAGUAAUCGCAGAUCAGCACGCUG
RNAcentral lists this ribosomal RNA (446 nucleotides) under uncultured Bacillota bacterium. RNAcentral's name for it is "bacterial SSU rRNA". It matches the Rfam family "Bacterial small subunit ribosomal RNA", at positions 917 to 1359 of the family's 1533-position model. The record is from RNAcentral. Lineage: Bacteria; Bacillati; Bacillota.